AUUAUGAGAGUUUGAUCCUGGCUCAGGACGAACGCUGGCGGCGUGCCUAAUACAUGCAAGUCGAACGCUUCUUUUCCCACCGGAGCUUGCUCCACCGGGAAAAGAGGAGUGGCGAACGGGUGAGUAACACGUGGGUAACCUGCCCA
This 146-nucleotide ribosomal RNA is filed under the name Enterococcus mundtii. Its description in RNAcentral is "partial 16S ribosomal RNA". It matches the Rfam family "Bacterial small subunit ribosomal RNA", at positions 1 to 132 of the family's 1533-position model. The record is from RNAcentral. Lineage: Bacteria; Bacillati; Bacillota; Bacilli; Lactobacillales; Enterococcaceae.